RNAcentral lists this unclassified non-coding RNA (2246 nucleotides) under Hevea brasiliensis (rubber tree). Lineage: Eukaryota; Viridiplantae; Streptophyta; Magnoliopsida; Malpighiales; Euphorbiaceae. The record is from RNAcentral.
UUAGCACCUAAUCAUGUGAUGAUUCACCAUUUUGAGACUUGUGCCUCAACCCUUAGCCUUUAAGCCAAGACGACGACAUGACAUUUAAGGAAAGUUACUUUUUUGGUGCUUGUAUUAAAUUUAAACUGGAUAUAAAUAAUUUAAAAUAAAUAUCAUUAUCGUAUCUACAGGAACUGUGCAUGCUUCUAAAACCGAGUUGUCAUAUCUCAGAAAAGCAAAAUAGGUCCAUGCAGACCCUGGCCCAACCCAGCAGUUUCUCUACAGCUUUUAAAAUGGGCCCUUCAACUUUAGAGAACAAAUAACAACCCAUGUACCGAUUGCUAUAAUAAAAUGAAAAAUAUAACAAGAGAUUUUUAGAAUUUCUUUUCUCUUAUAAUUAAUGAAAUCCACUAAAUUUUAUAAUGCGAAAUCAAAUAAGUAAUAAUGAAGAUGGCAGCACGUCAUCAUUAUCCUUCCAAUAAAUUAACAAGUUUUGCUGAAUGCCACUGCAUAUUUUAUUGGUGUAAAUAAGAAGGCAAAUAUAAAAGACCUCACAGCCAAUGUAAUUAAUGAAUGCCAGCACAAUAAAGUGAAAGUCAAACAAUAAAGUUGUUGGGUCUAUAUAUGCCUCUUAUUUUUGUUUCUUUUUGAAGGCCUACCCGUAAGCACCCUCUAACUCUCUAGUUUGGGAAUCUGCAACAUGUGGAUCUUUGGGUGGAAAGGGGCUUCUGGGUUCUCAGCCUGUUCCACAGCUGAGCAAGUUUCACAAGGGAUUGAUGGAACUGGCCUCACUGCUAUUGUCACAGGAGCAUCAAGUGGUAUUGGUGUGGAGACAGCACGAGUUCUUGCUUUGCGUGGUGUCCAUGUGAUUAUGGCCGUAAGGAAUUUGGAGGCUGGUAAGAAUGUCAAAGAAACAAUACUCAAGGAAAUCCCCACUGCUAAGAUUGAUGUUAUGCACUUAGAUCUCAGCUCAAUGACAUCUGUCAGGAAAUUUGCUUCUGAAUAUAUAUCCUUGGGUCUUCCACUAAAUCUACUCGUGUAAGAAACUAAAUUGAACUAUUCAAGUUUAUUUAAAUCCUGCAUUAGUUUGUUAUAUAAUUCCCUCUUUUGUGUGUCUUGUUCACUGGUUUUAUAUGCACACAUAACCAUGAUUUUCUUUCUGUUGCUAGUUGAUUUUGUUGUGCUUUCACGUGAAAAUCUUUUGAAAUUGAACAAUAAGAGCUAAAGUUCUCUUCUAUUUGUUGGAAGUAACAAUGCAGGCAUCAUGGCAACUCCUUUCACGCUUUCUCAAGACAACAUAGAAAUACAGUUUGCAACAAACCAUGUAGGACAUUUUCUUUUGACGAAUCUUUUGCUGGAAACCAUGAAAAACACAGCACGUGAAAGCAAUCAAGAGGGAAGAAUUGUUAAUGUAUCAUCAGAAGGUCACCGGUUUGCAUACCAUGAAGGAAUUUGUUUUGAUAAAAUUAAUGAUGAAUCAGGGUACCACUUUGCUAGCACUCUUUGUGAAUCCUAUCUUUGAAUGCUGCUAAAUAAAACUGUAGCACAGACACAAGUGUGACAAGCCCAGAUACAGAUGUUGUAUAAUGCAUUUGUAUUAGUGGUAUUCUGUUUGUUUCUUAACUUUGCCCUCUUGUGCCUGUGAAUUUACAGAUACAACACUAUACGUGCUUAUGGACAAUCAAAGUUGGCUAACAUUUUGCAUGCUAAUGAGCUUUCAAGACAACUUAAGGUACUAAAGAUUCUAAACAUAAGUAGCUUCUACAUUAAUGAAAAGAUGUGGAAUAAGACAGAAUUGUAGAACCUUUAGUUUCUUUCAUGCGAUAUAGUGGUGGUGGAGUAUUCCUGGACAUGGUGAUUUCCUUUUUGGUCAAUUAACUUCCCAAUGAUCUAAAAUUUUCCGACAUAUUCAGUGAAUAUUGUUCUUAUAAAUGCGUCUGCUUGUCUAAUUACUAUGUAGUGCUACCAUGUGUGCUUAUAAUUUGUAGCGUGAUCACAACAGUUUGCUAACCUUUGUUGCCACUCCCAUUGGUGGGUACUUUUCAUAGUAAUCACAUCAAUUUCCCGGGAGUCUUUUAAGCCUUCCCCUACUUUUUUCUUGUACAGGAAGAUGGAGUAAAUAUAACUGCUAAUUCACUUCAUCCUGGAGCAAUCGAUACAAAUCUUCUGCGCCAUCACAGCAUUUUUAAUGGUAAUCCUUCAAGACAUCAACUCUUCUUUGGUUGUAUUCACUAAGAAACCAUUUUUUUCCUAUUGAAGCUAAUUGA